UAAAAAAAAAAUGGUUUCGAAUGCAUGAUGCAGUUAAAAGAAAAAAACAAAUCAUAUUAUUAAACAAUAAAUAGAAAAAAGAAAUAUGAAUAAUAAAGCAUAAAAAGAAAAUAAUAAAAGAACAAAAAACUACACCUAGGAGUAUCGAACCCACUACACUAAAGAUCUAGAAGUCACUCCCUUCCACCAAACCAGUCACCAACUAAUUGUUAUCUUAAUGCUAGCUUAAAUAUAUAAACUAACAUAAACUAAAAAAAAGAAUUAAAAUACAAAACUAAAUAAAAAACAGUUAGUCUCUCCUAAUUAAAAACCAACCGCUUGGCUGUUAGUUUCUUCAAAAAAGAAAAGAAUAAAAAUGGGGAAUGUAAAACAUUUAUUGAUUGAACCUAGGAAACCUAAACAUAAACUUAAUAGUUUGUUAAAAAGGGACUUAUUCUGUAUGAAAUAAAAAAACAUUAAAAAAGAAAAUGCACAGACUCGUCGUUCCCACUUUUCUCAACCCAACUCACAAAAAAAAAACUCUCAAAUGCUCUUUCCAUCUUCUUG
This 546-nucleotide long non-coding RNA is filed under the name Lathyrus oleraceus (garden pea). RNAcentral describes it as "Pisum sativum (pea) long non-coding RNA (PSAT_LNC014745)". Lineage: Eukaryota; Viridiplantae; Streptophyta; Magnoliopsida; Fabales; Fabaceae. The record is from RNAcentral.